This 1910-nucleotide unclassified non-coding RNA is filed under the name uncultured fungus. RNAcentral's name for it is "sequence contains 18S rRNA gene, ITS1, 5.8S rRNA gene, ITS2, 28S rRNA gene". The stretch from base 793 to 1910 matches the Rfam family "Eukaryotic large subunit ribosomal RNA", at positions 1 to 961 of the family's 3401-position model. Lineage: Eukaryota; Fungi. The record is from RNAcentral.
GGAAGGAUCAUUACCACGUUUCCACGUAUCCACGCACGUGCAUCUGUUUUCGUUUCCUCUCCUGCUUUUGCUUCCUUCACGGGUUGCUGGGCAGGUCCCCCGGGUGCCUCUGUCUCGGUUUCGGCCGAGCGUUGUGCCCUUCCUCACCCCUUCCACCUCUUUUUUGCUAGUUGACUUUGAAAAAUGACACUGCCUGCGUUUGUUGCUUCGGCUGCUGCGCUUGCUGUGCCUCGUUUUCUCUAUUUAUUAUUGAAACGUCAUUACAACUCUUAGCAAUGGAUAUCUAGGUUCUCGCAACGAUGAAGAACGCAGCGAAAUGCGAUACGUAAUGCGAAUUGCAGAAUUCAGUGAAUCAUCAAAUCUUUGAACGCAAAUGGCGCUCUUGGGUAGCCCUAGGAGCACGCCUCUCUCAGUAUCGGUUCAACCUCCUCUCAGCAGCAUCCGAAUUUAAUCGUUCGCCUGUGUUGGCUGGAAAAUGAGCGUCGCACUGGACUCUUUUGUCCGCUGCGUCUCUUGAAAUGCAUGGAGUCUCCCUCUGUGCCUCGCAGCGCGCUUCCCUCUUUUGGGUGGCGCUAGCUCGGCUUGUCCUUGUUGCUGCGGAGUGACGUGAAUACUGACCCUCGUGGUCUCUCUUUUACGUGUGUCUCUGCAGCGACUCUCACAGGGUAGGUCGCAGUGAACGCUUGGUGUUUUAUGAGUGUGUGACGUGUCGGCUGGUCGUGCGUGCAGUGUUAUGCUGUCGUGCGAUCGUCCACUCGAUGUUCGUCCUUUCAUUAGGCGACUUCUGAAAUUUGAUCUGAGAUGAAGCGAGACAACCCCCUGAAUUUAAGCAUAUUAAUAAGGGGAGGAAAAGAAACUAACAAGGAUUCCCCCAGUAACGGCGAGUGAAGCGGGAAGAGCUCAAUUUGAAAAUCGAUCACCCAAGCGGGUCAUCGAAUUGUAGCCUAGAGACGUACUAUCAGCUGCAACCUGGGUAUAAGUUCUUUGGAAUGAGGCAUCAUAGAGGGUGAGAAUCCCGUAUAUGACCCAAAGCUUGCAGCGUACGAUGUAUGUUCCUCGAGUCGAGUUGUUUGGGAUUGCAGCUCUAAAUGGGUGGUAAGUUUCAUCUAAAGCUAAAUAAUGGCGAGAGACCGAUAGCGAACAAGUACCGUGAGGGAAAGAUGAAAAGAACUUUGAAAAGAGAGUUAAAAGUACUUGAAAUUGCUAAGAGGGAAGCGCUGACAACCAGUGCUUCGCGUCGCUCGACGCUCGUGUGCCUCUGAUGCUGUCGUCUGCUGUGCGUAAGCCUGCAGGCGGCCGUUUUUUGGGUGGUCGCGGGUUGAGGUCGGCGUGUCAGUCAAGAUCCAUUGGAUGAGGGGGAGAAAGUGAAGAGGAAGGUAGGAGAUCCGUAUCUGUUAUAGCCUCUGCACUCUACCUCGCGUCGGAUGGAGGAAGGAAUAGUGCGCCGCUUGCGACUUAGUCUCACGCGUCCUGUCGCUGCUCGCUGCUUUCAGUGCAAUGCUCUGUCUGUUGCGUGCCGGUGCCACUGUGUGUGCGGACUCUCUGUGCUAUCACGAUCUUGGACGAAAUGGUUGUCAUCGACCCGUCUUGAAACACGGACCAAGGAGUCUAACAUCUAUGCGAGUAUUUGAGUGAAAAACUCGAAUGCGCAAUGAAAGUAAAGGCAGCUUCGGCUGCUGAGGUAGGAAUCCGCGUCAAAAACGGAGGCACUAUCGACCGAUCAUCACUUGUGAAAGAUUUGAGUAAGAGCAUAUCUGUUGGGACCCGAAAGAUGGUGAUCUAUGCCUGAACAGGGUGAAGCCAGGGGAAACUCUGGUGGAGGCUCGUAGCGAUACUGACGUGCAAAUCGUUCGUCUGAUUUGGGUAUAGGGGCGAAAGACUAAUCGAACCAUCUAGUAGCUGGUUCCCUC